This is a long non-coding RNA of Rosa chinensis, 910 nucleotides long. RefSeq lists it as uncharacterized. The transcript has 2 exons. The record is from RefSeq and is a predicted model, not a curated record. Lineage: Eukaryota; Viridiplantae; Streptophyta; Magnoliopsida; Rosales; Rosaceae.
UCCAUCUUCUUCUUCCUUCAAUCCCACUUCGGGUCUCUCUCUCCUCUCUCUAACAUUUUCUGAUCUCGAUUCCCAUUUCACCUCCCUCUAAACGUACUCCCUCACCCAGAAACUCCAGACCCUAGAGUCCUAAUCCCCAAACCCUUCUUACUCUACCUCAAUCCCACAAACCCAAAAACCGCAAGACCCAUCUCUUUUCUCUAAUCGAGCCCGAUCCGUUUUGUGUCUCGUGGCAUGCGAGCUUUUUGGAGGGUCUGAAUAUGUCUCCAUCACCAUGCCGAUGUGGGUUCUAACAAGAAGCACAUUCACAACCUCUCUCCAGUUUCUGCCAGCAGGUACGCUGGGUUUGCUCCGAAUUGACUGAAUUCUCACCGGAAAUGGGGUUUGUUGUAACACUUGAAGUUUAAUUACUUUGAGGUUCAGACUUAUCUACUCACAAUUUCGCGACGGUUUUACCUGGAGAUUCAGUGGCCGAACUUGUUGUUGCAAAUGGUGCCUUCAACUUAUUGAACUUAUACGAAACUUUAUUGGUCUGGAGGCUUGUGUUAGCCGGUGGACCUUUGCGUACCCAAUCCGUAUCGACCAAGCUCUCUUUUGUCUCAACAAGUGUGAAUUCCCUCUCAAGAUCCAGCUCAUCGUCUUCCUCGAAGAGUUCUCCGGCUCGCACUUCACAUCCGACCUAGAUUCUCUUCUUGUUCUUCAUUUUGUGUUCUUAGUUUUUUGUUUUCCUCAUUUGCUAUGUCUAAUUUAGUGUUCUGUAGCCACCAGGUAUGAAGGAAGUGGUGGUUUUUUGAGAUGAAUUUGAUUCUGUGAUGGUUUUGAAGAAAUGGUUUCUAGUGGCUGAUUUGGUUUUGUAAAACGAGUUUAAUUUUGUGAUCGGUUUCAAAAGGAGGGGAGAGUGAUUAUUGUG